RNAcentral lists this ribosomal RNA (164 nucleotides) under Calamus deerratus. RNAcentral describes it as "5.8S ribosomal RNA". It matches the Rfam family "5.8S ribosomal RNA". Rfam says of the family: 5.8S ribosomal RNA (5.8S rRNA) is a component of the large subunit of the eukaryotic ribosome. It is transcribed by RNA polymerase I as part of the 45S precursor that also contains 18S and 28S rRNA. Functionally, it is thought that 5.8S rRNA may be involved in ribosome translocation. Lineage: Eukaryota; Viridiplantae; Streptophyta; Magnoliopsida; Arecales; Arecaceae. The record is from RNAcentral.
GGUAUGACUCUCGGCAAUGGAUAUCUUGGCUCUUGCAUCGAUGAAGAAUGUAGCGAAAUGCGAUACGUGGUGCGAAUUGCAGAAUCCCAUGAACCAUCGAGUCUUUGAAUGCAAGUUGCGCCCGAGGCCAUUCAGCCAAGGGCAUGCCUACCUGGGCACCAAGC